Molecule: ribosomal RNA, 477 nt
Filed under: uncultured bacterium
Lineage: Bacteria
Description: partial 16S ribosomal RNA
Rfam family: Bacterial small subunit ribosomal RNA
Source: RNAcentral
GACGAACGCUGGCGGCGUGCUUAACACAUGCAAGUCGAGCGAUGAAGUUCCUUCGGAAUGGAUUAGCGGCGGACGGGUGAGUAACACGUGGGUAACCUGCCUCAUAGAGGGGAAUAGCCUUUCGAAAGGAAGAUUAAUACCGCAUAAGAUUGUAGUACCGCAUGGUGCAGCAAUUAAAGGAGUAAUCCGCUAUGAGAUGGACCCGCGUCGCAUUAGCUAGUUGGUGAGGUAACGGCUCACCAAGGCGACGAUGCGUAGCCGACCUGAGAGGGUGAUCGGCCACAUUGGGACUGAGACACGGCCCAGACUCCUACGGGAGGCAGCAGUGGGGAAUAUUGCACAAUGGGGGAAACCCUGAUGCAGCAACGCCGCGUGAGUGAUGACGGUCUUCGGAUUGUAAAGCUCUGUCUUCAGGGACGAUAAUGACGGUACCUGAGGAGGAAGCCACGGCUAACUACGUGCCAGCCGCCGCGGUAA